CCUACGGGUGGCAGCAGUGGGGAAUAUUGGACAAUGGGCGAAAGCCUGAUCCAGCCAUGCCGCGUGUGUGAAGAAGGCCUUCGGGUUGUAAAGCACUUUCAGUGGGGAAGAAAGCCUUGGGGCUAAUACCCUCGAGGAAGGACAUCACCCACAGAAGAAGCACCGGCUAACUCCGUGCCAGCAGCCGCGGUAAUACGGAGGGUGCGAGCGUUAAUCGGAAUUACUGGGCGUAAAGCGCGCGUAGGCGGUCUGAUAAGCCGGUUGUGAAAGCCCCGGGCUCAACCUGGGAACGGCAUCCGGAACGGUCAGGCUAGAGUGCGGGAGAGGAAGGUAGAAUUCCCGGUGUAGCGGUGAAAUGCGUAGAGAUCGGGAGGAAUACCAGUGGCGAAGGCGGCCUUCUGGACUGGCACUGACGCUGAGGUGCGAAAGCGUGGGUAGCAAACAGGAUUAGAUACCCCGGUAGUC
RNAcentral lists this ribosomal RNA (465 nucleotides) under Vreelandella stevensii. RNAcentral's name for it is "partial 16S ribosomal RNA". It matches the Rfam family "Bacterial small subunit ribosomal RNA", at positions 338 to 795 of the family's 1533-position model. Lineage: Bacteria; Pseudomonadati; Pseudomonadota; Gammaproteobacteria; Oceanospirillales; Halomonadaceae. The record is from RNAcentral.